CCUACGGGUGGCUGCAGUGGGGAAUAUUGCACAAUGGGGGAAACCCUGAUGCAGCGACGCCGCGUGCGGGAAGAAGUAUUUCGGUACGUAAAGCUCUAUCAUCAGGGAAGAAAAUGACGGUACCUGACUAAUAAGCCUCGGCUAACUACGUGCCAGCAGCCGCGGUAAUACGUAGGGGGCGAGCGUUAUCCGGAUUUACUGGGUGUAAAGGGUGCGUAGACGGCAGCGCAAGUGUGAAGUGAAAUCCCAUGGCUUAACCAUGGAACUGCUUUGGAAACUGUGCAGCUGGAGUGCCGGAGAGGUAAGCGGAAUUCCUAGUGUAGCGGUGAAAUGCGUAGAUAUUAGGAGGAACACCAGUAGCGAAGGCAGCUUACUGGACUGUAACUGACGUUGAGGCUCGAAAGCGCAGGUAUCGAACAGGAUUAGAUACCCUUGUAGUC
Molecule: ribosomal RNA, 440 nt
Filed under: uncultured bacterium
Lineage: Bacteria
Description: partial 16S ribosomal RNA
Rfam family: Bacterial small subunit ribosomal RNA
Source: RNAcentral